Molecule: ribosomal RNA, 97 nt
Filed under: human gut metagenome
Source: RNAcentral
GUGUUAAUUGUGCAGAGGAACCACCCGUUCCCAUUCCGAACACGGAAGUUAAGCUCUGUAACGUUGAAAAUACUUGGUUGGAAACGAUCUGGGAAGA